RNAcentral lists this long non-coding RNA (930 nucleotides) under Salvator merianae (Argentine black and white tegu). RNAcentral describes it as "lncRNA (ENSSMRG00000022897.1)". The record is from RNAcentral. Lineage: Eukaryota; Metazoa; Chordata; Lepidosauria; Squamata; Teiidae.
GGAACUCGGCCCCUCUGUUUUAGCUUGCCAAAACGCCGAAGGUCCAGAAAACAGCUGCGCUCCCACCCGCCGCUUCCCCGUUUUAUUCGUCUCCUUCUGUUCGGGAAUUUUUCUGUCUUCUGGUUUCGCGUCUUCUCAUCCCACUGCAACAUCCCGGGAGAGCCGCCCGGGACGCGCCCUAAAAGCUCUUCGGAGCUUUGCGUUGAUUUCAUGGCCCAAGAAAAUCCGCUUGUCGUGCUGGACAGCGACUCAGACGAGCAUGGAAGUCCCUGGCAGACAAGAUUAACUUCCAAGGGCAGACAUUUUCCUGACAUCAUUUCUGUCAGUUCUGAUGAAGAAAUGUCUGCUACAAGUGCUGUAACACUAAAAACAACUUUGUCAUUUGAGGACAGAAGCUUUCCUGAUAUCAUUUCUGUCAGUUCUGCGGAAGAAUCAAAGCUUGCAAGAUCCAGUACAAGUAAUGAUAUUUUCAAGCAAAAUUUAAAAGUUAGGUAACCGUAGCAACAAGAUGUUCCCAUAGUGCAGCUGAACAUAAGUCCAUUUGGGAGUCUUAACAGAAGGAUCAUAACUUAGUAGUACAGCAUCUGUGGUUUAUGCAGAUUGCCACAGGUUCGGUUCUUGGCAUUUCUAGGUAAGACUAGUAGGAUCUCUUCUGCCAGUCUUCAUAUACAACAUUGACAUAGAUGGGCCACAAGACUCAAGAGUUAAACAGUGAAUAGUGCUGGGAUUUGUAGCUGUCAUACAUACCAUAUAGACUAGAACUCACAUUCUACCUACCCACACAAUUUUUCACUUAGACCCAGCUAGGCUGUUGGUUUUCAAAAUCACAAUUUUCACAGUCCCCAAAUGAGAUUAUUCCAAAGCAUCCACACUGAUUUGCAUUGAGAGGCCAAUUCCGCAUUCAAAUCAAUGUAGUUUUCAGGUGAGCAG